Molecule: ribosomal RNA, 528 nt
Filed under: uncultured bacterium
Lineage: Bacteria
Description: bacterial SSU rRNA
Rfam family: Bacterial small subunit ribosomal RNA
Source: RNAcentral
AUCUUGGUUCAGGACGAACGCUGGCGGCGUGCCUAAUACAUGCAAGUCGAACGGUCUUUCUAUGGAAGCUUGCUCCACUGAGAAGAUAGUGGCGAACGGGUGAGUAACACGUGGGUAACCUGCCCAUAAGAGGGGGAUAACAUCCGGAAACGGGUGCUAAUACCGCAUAGUUUUCUUGAUCGCAUGAUCGGGAAAGGAAAGACGGCCUUUGUGCUGUCGCUUAUGGAUGGACCCGCGGCGUAUUAGUUAGUUGGUGAGGUAAUGGCUCACCAAGACGAUGAUACGUAGCCGACCUGAGAGGGUGAUCGGCCACAUUGGGACUGAGACACGGCCCAAACUCCUACGGGAGGCAGCAGUAGGGAAUCUUCCGCAAUGGACGAAAGUCUGACGGAGCAACGCCGCGUGAGUGAAAGAAGGUUUUCGGAUCGUAAAACUCUGUUGUCAGAGAAGAACAAGUUGGAGAGUAACUGCUCCAGCCUUGACGGUAUCUGACCAGAAAGCCACGGCUAACUACGUGCCAGCCGCCGC